GGGCGUUGCAUUGACUGUGGCUAACAGGGCUGUGAUUUUGUAAUAUAUUCGUUUUUAUUCUAUAGCUAGUCACCACUUCAGUUUAAUCAUGUAUAUCUAUUAUAUAGUCAUUUUAACAAAUUUACUGUUUACAAAACUAUGCAUUAUUCUUGAUAAUAAUGAUGUUUCUGUCCCAGGCGGAUAACCCUGGCUUCACAACUUUUUGGAACUUUUGAUCCUCGGCGAUCUUCAACUUUGUAGUUGUUAUGGCUUUCAAACUUUUUACAUCUGAGCAUAGUUUUGUGUGAACGUGUGGACGUAGCGCGUCUGGCGUAUAAAAAUAUUUUUUAACCUGUUACCUUUUGAUGGCUAUUAUUCGUUUGUUUCUCUGUCCUAUAUUUGCUACCAUUUAUCAUAUCUAUUUAUUGUAACCCUGUCGUGUAAUGUUGUCAAUUUAAUGUUAUAAUUAACACUGCCAUUAAAGCGGGAGGUUUGGCAUGCCACAAAACCAGGUUCAACCCACC
This 503-nucleotide long non-coding RNA is filed under the name Mytilus galloprovincialis (Mediterranean mussel). Lineage: Eukaryota; Metazoa; Mollusca; Bivalvia; Mytilida; Mytilidae. The record is from RNAcentral.